GGUGAUAAAAUUUCACUUACAAUGAGAGUAACCUUGCAGGCAGCUGUAUACUUUUAUAGAAGUAAUAA
This 68-nucleotide transfer RNA is filed under the name Gammarus sp. 6 ZH-2007. RNAcentral describes it as "tRNA-Val". Lineage: Eukaryota; Metazoa; Arthropoda; Malacostraca; Amphipoda; Gammaridae. The record is from RNAcentral.